RNAcentral lists this ribosomal RNA (492 nucleotides) under uncultured bacterium. RNAcentral describes it as "partial 16S ribosomal RNA". It matches the Rfam family "Bacterial small subunit ribosomal RNA", at positions 29 to 507 of the family's 1533-position model. The record is from RNAcentral.
AGUGAACGCUGGCGGUAGGCCUAACACAUGCAAGUCGAACGGCAGCACAGUAAGAGCUUGCUCUUACGGGUGGCGAGUGGCGGACGGGUGAGGAAUACAUCGGAAUCUACUUUUUCGUGGGGGAUAACGUAGGGAAACUUACGCUAAUACCGCAUACGACCUACGGGUGAAAGCAGGGGAUCUUCGGACCUUGCGCGAUUGAAUGAGCCGAUGUCGGAUUAGCUAGUUGGCGGGGUAAAGGCCCACCAAGGCCACGAUCCGUAGCUGGUCUGAGAGGAUGAUCAUCCACACUGGAACUGAGACACGGUCCAGACUCCUACGGGAGGCAGCAGUGUGGAAUAUUAGACAAUGGGCGCAAGCCUGAUCCAGCCAUACCGCGUGGGUGAAGAAGGCUUUCGGGUUGUAAAGCCCCUUUGUUGGGAAAGAAAAGCAGCAGGUUAAUACCCCGCUGUUCUGACGGUACCCAAAGAAUAAGCACCGGCUAACUUCGUG